GGCGGGGUAGCUCAGCUGGCUAGAGCGUACGACUCAUAAUCGUAAGGU
Molecule: transfer RNA, 48 nt
Filed under: Gardnerella vaginalis
Lineage: Bacteria; Bacillati; Actinomycetota; Actinomycetes; Bifidobacteriales; Bifidobacteriaceae
Description: tRNA-Met
Rfam family: tRNA
About the family: Transfer RNA (tRNA) molecules are approximately 80 nucleotides in length.
Source: RNAcentral